RNAcentral lists this ribosomal RNA (781 nucleotides) under uncultured Clostridiaceae bacterium. RNAcentral describes it as "bacterial SSU rRNA". It matches the Rfam family "Bacterial small subunit ribosomal RNA", at positions 15 to 701 of the family's 1533-position model. Lineage: Bacteria; Bacillati; Bacillota; Clostridia; Eubacteriales; Clostridiaceae. The record is from RNAcentral.
GAUCCUGGAAUCAGGACGAACGCUGGCGGCGUGCUUAACACAUGCAAGUCGAGCGGGGAGGCUUUUCGGCACCGACCGUUGGGACGCAGCCCAAAGCGCGGGAGCGCGGAGGGGGCGCAAGGCAGAGCCCGGGGAGGGCGAAGCGGAGCGAGGGGGCGGACCAAGGGCGGGUGCUGGGAAGGCUUCCAGCGGCGGACGGGUGAGUAACGCGUGAACAAUCUGUCCCAGACAGGGGGAUAACAGAUGGAAACAUCUGCUAAUACCGCAUAAGACCACGGCCUCGCAUGGGGAAGUGGUAAAAGGAGCAAUCCGGUUUGGGGUGAGUUCGCGUCUGAUUAGCUUGUUGGCGGGGUAACGGCCCACCAAGGCGACGAUCAGUAGCCGACCUGAGAGGGUGAUCGGCCACACUGGAACUGAGAUACGGUCCAGACUCCUACGGGAGGCAGCAGUGGGGAAUAUUGGGCAAUGGGCGAAAGCCUGACCCAGCAACGCCGCGUGAAGGAAGAAGGUUUUCGGAUUGUAAACUUCUGUCCUCAGGGAAGAAGGAAGUGACGGUACCUGAGGAGGAAGCCCCGGCUAACUACGUGCCAGCAGCCGCGGUAAUACGUAGGGGGCGAGCGUUGUCCGGAAUGACUGGGCGUAAAGGGCGCGUAGACGGCUGUCUAAGUCUGGAGUGAAAGUCCUGCUUUCAAGGUGGGAAUUGCUUUGGAGACUGGAUGGCUUGAGUGCGGAAGAGGUAAGUGGAAUUCCCAGUGUAGCGGUGAAAUGCGUAAAGAUUGGG